RNA transcript from Carassius carassius (crucian carp), 1266 nucleotides. It is a transcript of the gene named C-type lectin domain family 4 member F-like, with no coding region annotated. The transcript is spliced from 7 exons. The record is from RefSeq and is a predicted model, not a curated record. NCBI's taxonomy places the organism in Eukaryota, Metazoa, Chordata, Actinopteri, Cypriniformes, Cyprinidae.
UUAGAUUUCUGGUUAGAGUUGUGUGUGACAACUUGUAUAAUGACAGACAUCUAUGCAAAUCGUGACUUCGUAAGGCUAAAAUAUAACAAACAGCCAACCUCAGUUGAUGAAGCAGACCGGUGCACUUAUGGAAACAGUGAUGACCUGGACUUGGAUCCAAAGACAAAAGACAUUGCAGGUGCCUCUCAAUAUGCAUCUGAACACACAUUUUCAUCUAGGAAAGAGAAAGACCCGUCCUGUAAGGCAGUUCUUCUGGCUGUCCUUAGUGUCUCUCUGCUCGUGGCUCUGUGUGUUCUGGGAAUUCUCUAUUCCCAACUACUGAGGUCAUCUGAUUUGUUAAAAGAGCAGAACAGAAAUGCUGCAGCCGACUUUGAAAUACAGGAGCAGAUUCCCACAGGUGAACUAUUUCUAUAAAAAUCCCUCCAAGAUAUAAAAACCUCCAAGAGCAGUGAAGGCUAAGAGAGGAAGUAACACACACACCUGCUGUUUUCACUAUUCAAGUUACUAGAUUACAGAAGUACUGAUACCAACAAACUAAUUUUAGCUGCCUGGGGUUUUCUUUUUUUCCCAUCUGCAUGUAUAUCUUGAGGAAGAGAAACUUUUUGGUUGGAUACUGUGACCAUCCUUCUGCAGUGAUCUUUAUGAACUUAUAUAUGCUCAAGAAAUCUGCUUGGACAUUUUGCUAAAUAAAUACUCUCUUAAAGUGCAUACAUUCAUGUCAGAUGUAAUGCAUCCAUACACUUUUUUACUAUGUAUCAAAUGUUUCUUGCACAGACAGCACAUUUGAAAGAAGAAAGUACUACUAUUUCUCUUCAGAAAAACUCAACUGGAUGGAAAGUCGAGAUUACUGUACAAGAACUGGAGGUCAGCUGGUCACAAUAACAGGCAAAGAGGAUCAGUAUAAUUUGGCCUCAAAGCUGAAAGAGCCACAUUGGAUUGGACUACAUGAUUUGUACACUGAAGGACACUGGAUGUGGGUGGACAACACAACUCUCUCAGGAGAAAUGUUCUGGCAUAAAAGGACAGCUGGUCUAUCUGAACCUGAUAACUGGACACAGGAGGACUCAGAUGGAGAAGACUGUGCUUGUCUGGAAAUGAAGAGUGAAUGGUUUGAUGCUCCAUGCUCAAAACUAAAAAAGUUCAUCUGUGAAAAGUAAAGCUGAUAGCAUGGUAAUCUAUACCAUUCAAAAGAUUAGGAUCAAUAAGAUUUCUUUUUACGGACAAAUAAAUGUUUUUGUUUUGUACUUUCUAUUCUCCAAAGAAUGA